UUCUGUGUAUACAGUGAUUAAGCACAUAGGUUCUGGAGCCAGUCUGUUUCUUUCAAAAUCACCUCAUUGCUUUUGAAGAAUCAGGGAAACCCCCAUGAGACUACAGGUGUGAAGCAAGAUAGAAGCAUCAGUGCAAAAGAGUACUGCAUUUCCAAAUAAAGCCACUCACAAUCUUUAAUCAGGCUGUAAAUUUUAAGAAAUCUGGACCAAGACAGUUUGCUCCAAGAGUAUCCCACAAAUGCAGAUCUUCAGAGUGAGAUUUUAUUAUUGGAUUGCUCACCUGUCUGUUGCCUGAAAAUGGAUGAAUGUGUCAUGAGCUUCAAAACCCUUCUCUAAGAACUAGGAGCAUCCCAAGAAAUUAUACAGUCUCAUUUGGAACAAAAUGAAAACUCAGUCCACCUAAGAGUUUCUCAGACAUUUGACCUUUGUGUCUGCAGGAAAUAAAAAAAUUGAAACAGCAUUUGUACUCUGUAAUUGGUCCAACCUUAAUGGAAGGUAUUCACUGAGCAGAACACUAAGACAAGCUUUUGGUAAAUGGCACAUUACUUUAUAAAGAGCUCUGCUCAAGGCAAUUUAUUUG
RNAcentral lists this long non-coding RNA (580 nucleotides) under Homo sapiens (human). Its description in RNAcentral is "HSALNT0341904". Lineage: Eukaryota; Metazoa; Chordata; Mammalia; Primates; Hominidae. The record is from RNAcentral.